ACGAACGCUGGCGGCAUGCCUAACACAUGCAAGUCGAACGAGACCUUCGGGUCUAGUGGCGCACGGGUGCGUAACGCGUGGGAACCUGCCCUUAGGUUCGGAAUAACUCCCCGAAAGGGGUGCUAAUACCGGAUAAUGUCUUCGGACCAAAGAUUUAUCGCCUUUGGAUGGGCCCGCGUUGGAUUAGCUAGUUGGUAGGGUAAAAGCCUACCAAGGCGACGAUCCAUAGCUGGUCUGAGAGGAUGAUCAGCCACACUGGGACUGAGACACGGCCCAGACUCCUACGGGAGGCAGCAGUGGGGAAUAUUGGACAAUGGGCGAAAGACUGAUCCAGCAAUGCCGCGUGAGUGAUGAAGGGCUUAGGGUUGUAAAGCUCUUUUACCCGGGAUGAUAAUGACAGUACCGGGAGAAUAAGCUCCGGCUAACUCCGU
This 431-nucleotide ribosomal RNA is filed under the name uncultured bacterium. RNAcentral's name for it is "partial 16S ribosomal RNA". It matches the Rfam family "Bacterial small subunit ribosomal RNA", at positions 29 to 506 of the family's 1533-position model. The record is from RNAcentral.